GACAGAGGGUGCAAACGUUGUUCGGAAUUACUGGGCAUAAAGAGCACGUAGGUGGUCUGCUAAGUCACGUGUGAAAUCCCCCGGCUCAACCGGGGAAUAGCGCUUGAUACUGGCAGGUUCGAGGUGGGUAGGGGUGAGUGGAACUCCAGGUGGAGCGGUGAAAUGCGUAGAUAUCUGGAGGAACACCGGUGGCGAAAGCGGCUCACUGGACCCAAUCUGACACUGAGGUGCGAAAGCUAGGGUAGCAAACAGG
This 253-nucleotide ribosomal RNA is filed under the name uncultured bacterium. RNAcentral describes it as "partial 16S ribosomal RNA". It matches the Rfam family "Bacterial small subunit ribosomal RNA", at positions 524 to 776 of the family's 1533-position model. The record is from RNAcentral.